CAAGUGUGGAUGUUUAUCAGAAGCCAGGGAAGUGUUUCAUGGGAUGCAGUUAAGGGAUGUUGUCUCGUGGACUUUAAUGAUGUCUGCCUAUGGUAGGAGUGGGGAAGGUCACAGGUCUAUUGAGUUAAUUACCAAAAUUCAGGAUUCAGGUCUUAUUCCCAAUUCAAUAGCCUCAGUUUCAAUUCUUUCAGCUUGCAGCCACACAGGGUUAUCAUCUGAAGGCCGACAUUAUUACAGAUUGAUGAGCGAGAAGUAUAAAGUAGUUCCUAGGUUAGAACAUUGUGCUUGCAUGGUCGAUCUAUUUGUACGUGCUGGUCGUGUAGAAGAGGCCUACAAUUUUAUCAGUCAGAUGCAAUGGAGCCUAACGAUCAGGUUUGGGGAGCUUUGUUGAGUGCUUGCCAUGUUUAUAAUAACAUGGAUAUUGGGCUUGUAGCUGCAGAUCAUCUUUUCCAAUUGGUUCCAGAGCAGUCUGGUUAUUAUGUCCUGUUAUUGAACAUAUAUGCAAAGGCCGGGAGAUGGAAUUCAGUCCAUCAGGAAAGGGAGAGGAAUCAGUGAAGUACCCGGAGUUAGUAAUGUUGAGCUCCAUAAUCGGGUCCACACCUUCCUUGCUGGAGACCAAUGGCAUCCACAAUCAAUGGAGAUCUACGAAGAGUUAGAUGUCUUCGUAGGGAAAAUGAAAGAAGCAGGUUAUGUCCCAAAAACCGACACUGCAUUGAAUGAUGUGGAGGAGGAAGAUAAAGAAAACCUUCUAGCAGUGCACAGUGAGAAGUUGGCCACUGUAUUUGCUAUUAUUAAUACUAAACCAGGGCAACCAAUCAGAGUUACUAAAAAUCUACGUGUCUGUGAAGAUUGCCACAUUGCUAUGAAGUUUAUGUCCAAGAUUACUGAGCGUAAAAUUGUAUUAAGGGAUACUAACCUUUAUCAUCACUUUGA
RNAcentral lists this long non-coding RNA (933 nucleotides) under Olea europaea subsp. europaea. The record is from RNAcentral. Lineage: Eukaryota; Viridiplantae; Streptophyta; Magnoliopsida; Lamiales; Oleaceae.